GAUGAACGCUAGCGGGAGGCCUAACACAUGCAAGCCGAGCGGUAUUUGUCCUUCGGGACAGAGAGAGUGGCGCACGGGUGCGGAACACGUGUGCAACCUACCUUUAUCAGGGGGAUAGCCUUUCGAAAGGAAGAUUAAUACCCCAUAAUAUAUUGAAUGGCAUCAUUUGAUAUUGAAAACUCCGGUGGAUAGAGAUGGGCACGCGCAAGAUUAGAUAGUUGGUAGGGUAACGGCCUACCAAGUCGAUGAUCUUUAGGGGGCCUGAGAGGGUGAUCCCCCACACUGGUACUGAGACACGGACCAGACUCCUACGGGAGGCAGCAGUGAGGAAUAUUGGACAAUGGGUGAGAGCCUGAUCCAGCCAUCCCGCGUGAAGGACGACUGCCCUAUGGGUUGUAAACUUCUUUUGUACAGGGAUAAACCUAGAUACGUGUAUCUAGCUGAAGGUACUGUACGAAUAAGCACCGGCUAACUCCGUGCCAGCAGCCGCGGUAAUACGGAGGGUGCAAGCGUUAUCCGGAUUUAUUGGGUUUAAAGGGUCCGUAGGCGGGCCUGUAAGUCAGUGGUGAAAUCUCAUAGCUUAACUAUGAAACUGCCAUUGAUACUGCAGGUCUUGAGUAAAUUUGAAGUGGCUGGAAUAAGUAGUGUAGCGGUGAAAUGCAUAGAUAUUACUUAGAACACCAAUUGCGAAGGCAGGUCACUAAGAUUUAACUGACGCUGAUGGACGAAAGCGUGGGGAGCGAACAGGAUUAGAUACCCUGGUAGUCCACGCCGUAAACGAUGCUAACUCGUUUUUGGGUCUUCGGAUUCAGAGACUAAGCGAAAGUGAUAAGUUAGCCACCUGGGGAGUACGUUCGCAAGAAUGAAACUCAAAGGAAUUAACGGGGGCCCGCACAAGCGGUGGAUUAUGUGGUUUAAUUCGAUGAUACGCGAGGAACCUUACCAAGACUUAAAUGGGAAAUGACAGAUCUGGAAACAGGUCCUUCUUCGGACAUUUUUCAAGGUGCUGCAUGGUUGUCGUCAGCUCGUGCCGUGAGGUGUUAGGUUAAGUCCUGCAACGAGCGCAACCCCUGUCACUAGUUGCUACCAUUAAGUUGAGGACUCUAGUGAGACUGCCUACGCAAGUAGAGAGGAAGGUGGGGAUGACGUCAAAUCAUCACGGCCCUUACGUCUUGGGCCACACACGUAAUACAAUGGCCGGUACAGAGGGCAGCUACACAGCGAUGUGAUGCAAAUCUCGAAAGCCGGUCUCAGUUCGGAUUGGAGUCUGCAACUCGACUCUAUGAAGCUGGAAUCGCUAGUAAUCGCGCAUCAGCCAUGGCGCGGUGAAUACGUUCCCGGGCCU
RNAcentral lists this ribosomal RNA (1345 nucleotides) under uncultured bacterium. Its description in RNAcentral is "bacterial SSU rRNA". It matches the Rfam family "Bacterial small subunit ribosomal RNA", at positions 28 to 1381 of the family's 1533-position model. The record is from RNAcentral.